CGAAAGAUUCCAGUCUGUGGAAACCAAUUUAAAGACGCCCCUCAUGAGGUACCACACUGUCCUUAAUCAUACGUUUGACUGGUAAGACUUGAUUUCAAUUUAAGUUGUAACGAUACUUAAAAAUGUCAUGGUAAAAGUACGAAACAUUCCAGUAUGUCAAACCAACUUAAAAACCUGCGUCAGGAAGGCCUCGAAUGACCUGCUAAUACUAUAUAGGGCUGCUUCUUUCAGAAGCCGGCACGCGUCCGAAUCGUGUGGUCAAAACAGGUAGGAGCAACAUCUGAAAUACUUAGCCUGGCGGAGAGUGAACUACGGGGAUUAUAACGCCAGUGGCGUAUCCUAGGGUUUGGGAACACUUGUAGGAAACGGGUUUUAAAUUCUUAAAACAAGAGCCGAUCUUGUUAACGCGUCGCUCAUCACGACUGGAACGAGUAACACAUCCGUGACUCGAAGUUUAAUUCGAACACGUCGUAACCUUCGACAGGUUCCCUUAGUGGCCCCUGGCUCGGUUUCGGAACGUCCCUGAAAGGAGAAGAGGGAGGGGUUAGGGCGGCUACGAGAGAAGUCAGGGACGAGACGGAGGAGGAGAAGAAGAGGGUCAGAUCAACAAUUCUUUCAGAACUUCCAACAAUUCUUUCGGGCUUCUCAGAACAGCACUAAUAAGGCCGCCUCUACUACUAAGUUUGUUCAACACUUCGACAACAACCUCUUUACAGUGACACUUCGAGUAGUAAAACAAGACAAAAUAGUUACAAACGACCCUGUACAGCUAGUAAAGGGAGGACGUACUCCAGCUUGAUUAGAAACAGGGCUUUGAGCGCGUGGAACGUGAGACGAAGAGUUGAAAGUUGACAGCUCGUUACUAAACACAAUGAGUACACAAAUUAAUACUUAUCAUGAUAAACGGCAUAUAUAGACGACAUUACAAUUUAGGACUCGUCACGUUGGAAAUGAGUCGU
RNAcentral lists this ribosomal RNA (959 nucleotides) under Triticum aestivum (bread wheat). RNAcentral describes it as "partial small subunit ribosomal RNA". The record is from RNAcentral. Lineage: Eukaryota; Viridiplantae; Streptophyta; Magnoliopsida; Poales; Poaceae.